This 440-nucleotide ribosomal RNA is filed under the name uncultured bacterium. RNAcentral's name for it is "partial 16S ribosomal RNA". It matches the Rfam family "Bacterial small subunit ribosomal RNA", at positions 338 to 795 of the family's 1533-position model. The record is from RNAcentral.
CCUACGGGUGGCAGCAGUAGGGAAUAUUGCUCAAUGGGCGAAACCCUGAAGCAGCAACGCCGCGUGGAGGAUGAAGGUUUUCGGAUUGUAAACUCCUUUUCUUAUAGAAGAUAAUGACGGUAUCUAACGAAUAAGCACCGGCUAACUACGUGCCAGCAGCCGCGGUAAUACGGAGGGUGCAAGCGUUACUCGGAAUCACUGGGGGUAAAGAGCGCGUAGGCGGGAAAGCAAGUCAGAUGUGAAAUCCGAGGGCUUAACCACAGAAGUGCAUUUGAAACUGUAAUUCUAGAGUAUGGGAGAGGGAGGUGGAAUUCUUGGUGUAGGGGUGAAAUGCGUAGAGAUGAAGAGGAACACGCAUGGCGAAGGCGACAUGCUAGAACAUAACUGACGCUGAUGCGCGAAAGCGUGGGGAGCAAACAGGAUUAGAUACCCGGGUAGUC